GCAGUCGAGCGGACAGAUGGGAGCUUGCUCCCUGAUGUUAGCGGCGGACGGGUGAGUAACACGUGGGUAACCUGCCUGUAAGACUGGGAUAACUCCGGGAAACCGGGGCUAAUACCGGAUGCUUGUUUGAACCGCAUGGUUCAAAUAUAAAAGGUGGCUUUUAGCUACCACUUACAGAUGGACCCGCGGCGCAUUAUCUAGUUGGUGAGGUAACGGCUCACCA
This 223-nucleotide ribosomal RNA is filed under the name Bacillus licheniformis. RNAcentral describes it as "partial 16S ribosomal RNA". It matches the Rfam family "Bacterial small subunit ribosomal RNA", at positions 60 to 270 of the family's 1533-position model. Lineage: Bacteria; Bacillati; Bacillota; Bacilli; Caryophanales; Bacillaceae. The record is from RNAcentral.